GCCCUGGUAGCUCAAUUGGAUAGAGCAGGUCCGUCCUAAGGACAAGGUUGGAGGUUCAAGUCCUCUCCGGGGCG
Molecule: transfer RNA, 74 nt
Filed under: Elusimicrobiota bacterium
Lineage: Bacteria; Pseudomonadati; Elusimicrobiota
Description: Elusimicrobia bacterium (hot springs metagenome) tRNA-Arg
Rfam family: tRNA
About the family: Transfer RNA (tRNA) molecules are approximately 80 nucleotides in length. Their secondary structure includes four short double-helical elements and three loops (D, anti-codon, and T loops).
Source: RNAcentral